This 496-nucleotide ribosomal RNA is filed under the name uncultured bacterium. Its description in RNAcentral is "partial 16S ribosomal RNA". It matches the Rfam family "Bacterial small subunit ribosomal RNA", at positions 28 to 507 of the family's 1533-position model. The record is from RNAcentral.
GAUGAACGCUGGCGGCGUGCCUAAUACAUGCAAGUCGAGCGAACGGACGAGAAGCUUGCUUCUCUGAUGUUAGCGGCGGACGGGUGAGUAACACGUGGAUAACCUACCUAUAAGACUGGAUAAACUCGGGAAACCCGAACCAAAUACCGAAGAUAAUUUUAAACGCAAGGUUUAAAAAUGAAAAAAGGUCUUUCUUUCACCUAUUGAUGGAACCGCGCUGCAUUAGCUAGUUGGUAAGGUAACGGCUUACCAAGGCAACGAUGCAUAGCCGACCUGAGAGGGUGAUCGGCCACACUGGAACUGAGACACGGUCCAGACUCCUACGGGAGGCAGCAGUAGGGAAUCUUCCGCAAUGGGCGAAAGCCUGACGGAGCAACGCCGCGUGAGUGAUGAAGGUCUUCGGAUCGUAAAACUCUGUUAUUAGGGAAGAACAUAUGUGUAAGUAACUGUGCACAUCUUGACGGUACCUAAUCAGAAAGCCACGGCUAACUACGUG